CCCAUUGCGUGUAGACUAGCGCGGUGCUGUGCGCCCUGUACACGCACCGUCCGCGCAGUAGGCCUGCACGGUAGGGCUGCGCGCAUGGGCAUGCGCUCUAUAGGCCAUGUGCACAACCAACUUGGGGAGGCAUGCUACUACCUCGGGUGGUGUGCCGCCUCCCCUUGGGUGCCGUGCGCUACCUUGGGUGAUGUGCGUUGCCAGUUGGGUGGUGUGCCCCACUUUCUUGGGCCGUGUACUGCCAUUAGUUGGGAAGUUCUUUCUCUGUUUUUCAUGUUGCGUCACAUCACUCUUUUCCCAUUUAACUUUCUCUCUCCUCACCAGAUUUUCCCACUUGGCGUAAAUAUAACGGUCCCCAUUUCUUAUAAAUAGGGAUUCCUCUCUUCCAUUUUCCUGAUCACUUCCAUUUCAUUCUUCCAUCCUUCAAGAGCUUAGAGAUAGAAGGAGUGAUCUAGAGACAAAAUGAGAGGAGGAGAAGAAGAAAGGUGUAAGAAAACUUCAAGAUUUUGGUAAGGAAUUUAGUAUUUCUUUUAAACAUCUUAAGAAGCAUUUCUAGAGUCAAAAUUAUAAAGCUUGAAAUUUAUGAUUUACAUGAUUAUGUUUAGUUAU
This 609-nucleotide long non-coding RNA is filed under the name Carica papaya (papaya). RNAcentral's name for it is "long non-coding RNA (CPAP_LNC004454)". Lineage: Eukaryota; Viridiplantae; Streptophyta; Magnoliopsida; Brassicales; Caricaceae. The record is from RNAcentral.